This 21-nucleotide non-coding RNA is filed under the name Arabidopsis thaliana (thale cress). Lineage: Eukaryota; Viridiplantae; Streptophyta; Magnoliopsida; Brassicales; Brassicaceae. The record is from RNAcentral.
UCGCUCAAAGUAUAGAAACGC